UAUUCCGCCCCAUGGGGAAGGAUGAGAAGCUUCGACUAAGGUUCGACUCGAGCGCCAGCGAGAGAACGUUGCCACAGGCAACGGCCCGAAGGGCGAGGCGCUUUAGCGCCGAGUAAUCCUUCCCCCACCACCA
This 133-nucleotide small RNA is filed under the name Klebsiella pneumoniae. Its description in RNAcentral is "RtT sRNA". It matches the Rfam family "RtT RNA". Rfam says of the family: This family represents a bacterial cis-regulatory element known as RtT RNA. The exact function of RtT is unknown although it is thought that it may be involved in changing the cellular response in relation to amino acid starvation. The record is from RNAcentral. Lineage: Bacteria; Pseudomonadati; Pseudomonadota; Gammaproteobacteria; Enterobacterales; Enterobacteriaceae.